This is a long non-coding RNA of Chroicocephalus ridibundus (black-headed gull), 4571 nucleotides long. RefSeq lists it as uncharacterized. Lineage: Eukaryota; Metazoa; Chordata; Aves; Charadriiformes; Laridae. The record is from RefSeq and is a predicted model, not a curated record. The transcript is spliced from 3 exons.
ACAGAACUUCAAUUCAUCAGUAUGUGUCCAACCAGCACAGUCGCUUCUUAAAAAGCAGCGCCCCCUCAGAAAGCACGGCAGUGCUCUUACAGAUUGGUCUGACCUCGCCAUUUUGGGGGCUGCUGCUUGCCUGCAACACCUUUAUGCUUUUGGAUUUCUUGCCGAAGGCUGGCCAGGGCCGGCCGCGGCUUCCAGGUGCCAGUCUCCCACCCAGGGCCGCCCGACUUCCUCAUGCCCAAACAUGGCCCCGGCCGCCGCCGGCCCCGCCCACGCCAGCUGCCGCGGCCAUUUCGCGAUCCCGCCGCCUCCCUCUAUCCCCCCACCCCCCUCCCCGCUACCACGCCGGCGGCCGCCAUUUUGUAUCCUGCCACGUUUCCAGCGGGCUCCCGGCACGCCCGGGGCUGAGCCGCGGCCAGAACCGAGGGUGCAGCGCUGGAGAGGAGGUGGGGAAGGACCACUACGGACCUCUCCGAAAUGAGCUGACUUACAAAACAGGGCGUUUGGGUGAGGAACCGAACCGAGUUUCACACACACAGCACCUUUUACGCCCGUUUCCAGCGGGUUAUGAAACCCCUCCAGGGGAUCAGGGCAGACUUAUCGCUACGGUAUUAAAAGAUUACAGUACUGCUGCCAGCUGAUGAACAGCCCCCGUUUAUCUACUCCGGACGAUACACCGAGUGGUAUUUACACCCCCCGAACCCCGAUGCCUCCAAUACCCCACUUCCCCCCAGCUACAGCAGCUUUUCCCACAGGCGGGGUCAAGAAGCCCCCACGAGGAACGUGCCGCUCUUAACUACCACGGAAACCCCAUGAAACGGAAAAAAAAAAAAAGACCCGUAACUUUUGGGAAUCGAGUCUUCCUGAGCGAGGCGUUACUCAGGCUGAUGUGAGCAUUAAUGGAUCGCCUACAUAGCCUUGCAGCUCCAAAGGGCAGCGUCACCUUGGAAAGUUUUUAAAGUGCAGUUUCACAUUAUGUUUUAUCCGAGCUAAAUCGACUUGCUGCUAGGAAAGAAGGCAGCCCUCUUCCCCCGCUCUGUUCCUGGCUGUACAGUUCCACCAGCUGGUCUGGUCCUCAGUAACCCAGCAGGAAACUCACAAGGGUCAACAGUUUUCUGCUGGUUUUAGUCCCUUCAUCAUUUCACUCAGAAUACAUUUGUGGCUCGGAGAUUGAGAAGUCUGUCAGCCCUGAAGAAAAUUGAAUUUACAGCGCAAAAAGGUGGCUUCUGACUGAAGAGUAAUUUGUGUGCAUGGUCAAUGAACUCCUGCUGACGCGUUAACAGCUUUAGCAUGGUGGAUGUGAUUUUCCUGCCCUGGGUACCAGCACCUCGGCAACAGAGAGCUCCUGUGAUAAGUGAGAUCCGUCCCCACCCAGAAGCGAGGGGCCAGCCGCCGGCGAAAGGAGCUGCUGGUGCAGAGCUCGCUGCAGGACGGAGGCCACAGUGACCUUGCUGGGGAGUGAUGAGCUGCCCUGAUAAAUACAGCACUGCAGAAAGCCACCUCCGGCCGAAGAGCAGCGUCGGGAGGUGGAAAACUAAUACUCCUCCGUUCACCCUCCUCCUUCGUUAAGAUGGAAGGUCAAUAUAUGUGCGUGCUUGCUUUUUUUAUUAAUUAUUUUUUUAAGUUAACGUUGCAAAGGAAAAGAGGUUUUCUUCUUCCACCAGCGAGUAUACAGGAGAUAAACACGCAGCGUGCUAUGUUAUUAAGUACACAAAAGACAGUGAGGACGUAAAUGUUUCCAUGGUGACAUCUCCUCGCACAGUCUAGACCGUCAUUAUAGGAUGCUCUCAGGGACUCGGGGGGUGGGGGGGAAGUACUCGUGGGCCCCUGCAGCAAGGGAGCGAGGCGGGGGGGCAAGUACGUGGUGCUGGGGCCAGGAGGGUAACCGACAACAGUAAUGGAGAUGUUUGCUCCUUCCUGGAGUGCUGGGAGAGCUGCAGCCAGGGAGAAGGGCUGGCAGAUGCUGCAUCACCACCCCCUUGGUGGCACCGGGCAGGUGGCUUUGGGCCCCCACUGAGCCUCAGUGGCCCGGUGAAGGGUCAUAUGGGCUUUUGGCUGGCCCUGGGCCCUACUGGGGUGGCUGGGGAGGAGGGGGCAUUGCCGGCUUUGCAGAAGGAUGAGUGUGAGGGCAAGUCCCCAAGGGGAUUCUUGUGAUAAUUUCUUGUCCUUUGAACCUUCCAUCAGAAGGGACAGGAAGCCUUACCCUGGCACUUCAAUCAGCAAAGCAUUUCCAGAGACCAGCAGGAAUUUUUCCUGGAGACAGAGUGCCGAGGGAAACACAACAGAGGAAUGAGGCGAAGCAGCUAUACGUUUUGAGCAAUUUCGAGGGAGAAUUACCUACAGCCUCUAUGGCACAGGCUAAUUCGCAGUGCUCGGCUGCUUCUCUCCUCAUGCGGCACAAACUGAUAUCUGAAGGAUCUUUUCUACCAGAUUCUCAUCGUAAGCUCUUUAGGAAUUGCUUAUAGAUGUUCCAUUUUAAAGCUAGAUUGAAAAGCAAAUAUAUGUGAAUAAAGACCAGGCUGGGAGGUAUUAGCAUCCAUCUUUUAUUACAUACAAACAGAAAAUAAGUUAGCCAUAUGCUCUGCCUCAUUUGUUUUGGACACUAGCACACCAAAUGGAAUCUCUAAUAAAUCUUUCAUUGCUUACCCACCCCCUCACUGUCUUCUGUUUCCAUGCUGUUAUGUAAAUAUCACUGACAUUUGAAAUGAGACUAAUAAAAAAAAGGAUAAAAUCUGCAAUUUACAUUUGCAACUUACAGUUCAAUUAUUUUAGACAGAUAUGGAAACAAUCCUGGUUGUCCACCUACAUUUUUCUUACUGAACAAACGUGGGCAUGCCAAGCACAUGCCGAUAGCUCACAAAAUAUGGCUCUCCAGAGGCUUAGUUACUCAGAAUCAGCCAGGCUGUAGCCAGCUGCCACAUGUAAAAACAUUGUGCAAAUCUGGUAAGAGGGAGGUAAGUUUUAACUUGUAACUUGCCCAAGCGUGAAUUUCCUGAGCAAAGCUACAACUGGUUGAAAAUGAUGUUUAGCAAAAAAUAUGUGUGCAGGGGGGUAGGAGGGGAUGCUGACUUUUGUUCAGACCAUUGGGGGAUUUUUUUUUGGUUUUGUCAUUGUCCAGCCUUGUUUUGUUAUGACGAAAGUGCUUGGGGGUCAAGAAUUAUCCCUCGUGUGUAUUAGCACAUGUGGGAGCAGUUUAGCCCACAAACAAAAGCCUUCCAGUUGUCCAAGCAAUAACAGAACAGAAACAUGUCUCAUGGCAGCUCUUGUUCCUCACGGGGCUGUAGUUAACGUGGCCCCUGAUGCAGGCUGUGAGUUCAGUGUCUAUCAGAAUGUAGGUAUCUGUACCUCACCAGCAUUUGCUGGAGUCACACGUGCCAGGUGCCUUGUGCCUUCCUGUGCGAAAGGAUGAAGAUGAGAGUGGCAACGCACAUUCCUUCUUUUUCUAGCAGUGCAAAGUUAGCAAGAACCGAGGCCUGAAGAGCGGGUACGGCUUAAGAGACUGCAGCAUCUCAGGCAGCCACAGACACCAGUGGGUGAGUUAACAGCCCAUCGCCGUUUCAGUGGAUUUCUCUUUCACUGUCUCGGUGCCCCUUAGACUUGUCAGAACAAGGACACCUUGCAGCAUCAGUCCAACGGCAAUUACGCUGCUCUCCUGAACCUGGCAUCUAAACUAGCAGCUUUGGCUGAGGCAUGUGGAAAAGUUACUUGAGCUUGAGUUAUUUCAGCCUCUCUGUUCAGUGAGGGGGGAUGCACGAUGAAAGGCUCAUAAUACCAGACUAUGCUCUGCGUGCUCCAUCUGGGGAUUUGUUUUUCACUUCACAUAACUUCAGAGUGUCUUGAUAAGGCCAGGAAGAGAGACUGUGAAUGGGUACACCCUAUUAAUGAAAUCAAACAGGAUCCUGGGGAUAUCUCGUGUGCGUGUGAGAUCUCUUUGUCUCUGAUGCUGGCAGGCAACUUCAGCAGGAACACUGACAAACCAUGUAGUUCAGACAAAGCUCUGAAACUCAUCUGGGGAUAAAUCACCUUUGAGGCUAUAGCUCCCCAGGUCCCUGGGGAGGAACACUGCAGACAUUAUUCAGUAAUAUUUCUCAGCUCUUUGUAGGCAGCAGCUGCUUGGUGGAUGAAAUGUACCAGUAGACUUCGAUCUGUUUUAAUACAUACUUGUUUACAGAGGAGGAGAAACUCCUGGCGGUUGUUGACGCAGUAGUGAUAUCAUUCAGUUUAUAGCUUUUUCCUGAACGACUGUCAUUUUCCCUCCUAAGGUCUCUGUUAGGAGAUUUGGCAAAGGAUGCCAGAUGCUUUCAGAAAAGAUGCUUUCAGAAGAUGCUUUGAGACUGCUCUGCUCCCUGCACUUGCGCAUGGGCUUGCGGGUGGCCUCCAGCAGAGCUUCCUCAGAUGUGUUACAGGGGUACCGGCCAUUGGCAAGCUGGAGAAUAGUCCCCAGAGAGGACUUUGUGGCCAAAGUAUCAUAUUGUGCUGUAGCUUCUCAAUCCACUGCGCUCCUUACUGAUUCACUGUGGUGCUUGGUGAGGGAGGUUUGCAGUUUUCUUAACAGGAGGAGGUUUCUGUGCUUG